Molecule: long non-coding RNA, 94 nt
Organism: Telopea speciosissima
Lineage: Eukaryota; Viridiplantae; Streptophyta; Magnoliopsida; Proteales; Proteaceae
Exons: 3
Source: RefSeq, a predicted model, not a curated record
AAUGGAGUGCUCACUGUUACUCUGUUCAAGGAAGAAGUGAAGAAGCCAGAGGUAAAGGCCAUUGAAAUCUCUGGCUAGGAACUCUCUAUGGUGC